Molecule: long non-coding RNA, 1271 nt
Organism: Nicotiana tabacum (common tobacco)
Lineage: Eukaryota; Viridiplantae; Streptophyta; Magnoliopsida; Solanales; Solanaceae
Source: RefSeq, a predicted model, not a curated record
CAAACGAGUAACCAAGUCCCUAUUCACGAAACCAGCUGGUCCCACACCGACUAAACGCUACAUAUUUUUGCAAUUCAAAUAGCGAAAGCAGAAGAGCUUUGUUCGUCCCUUCGGGGACAUCCGAUAAAAUUGGAACGAUACAGAGAAGAUUAGCAUGGCCCCUGCGCAAGGAUGACACGCACAAAUCGAGAAAUGGUCCAAAUUUUUUUUGUCAACUCGCCAUUUUUUAUCUCCAUAGCUUCUUUCAGCGACCUAAGUUUUUGUUGCAACCUUCAAUCUGAGAUCUCACACCAUUGGCAAAAGAAAACGUGGUAAGAAAAGUAAACCUUGUUUACCGGGUGAUACCGAGCAAUCCUGGUGGUGCAGCAAAGUUUGACUCCCUUUGCUCGAACCUGCAUAAAUGACAUAUCCACCAAUUUUUCUUGGAGGUUUUCCAGCUGCUGACUCCUGAAGAAAAGAAGACGUUGCCCUGAAAGAUAUACUGUCAAAGAAACACAGCUCCCUCGGAUUCAAGUGACCGAUCCAGUUGCUAGAUAUUAUGGGCUAAAACGUCUCCAAGUCGCGAAAAUUAUUAGACCGAGUGAAACAGCUGGGCAUUAUGUUACCUGCAGAUAUCAACAACAACAAUUACAUACCAAGUGAAAUCCUACAAGUGAGGUCCCCUUCUGGGGAGGGUAAUGUAUAUGCAGACCUUAUACCUACCUUGUGAAUUACUUUAUACCUACCUUGUGAAUUACCUGCAGAUAUGUUGUCUAAAAAAUGUUAGCACCUCAAAUGGAAGAAAGUAGAUAAGGAGAUCCAUUUGCAGAUCUAGAGUACGUCUUUAGUUGUCAAGUUUUGAUCGUCUGUUGGGAUGGAUUCUCCGACGCUUACUACUACGAGCUCCAGAAGGUAUCAGUUUGCAUAAUGUUCUCUUCUAGAAAUUUCUGGAACAUUCUCCUGAUCUUGCAAAAGUUCUCUUGGUUCAGUAAAUGUUCAACAACGUGCCGAUGUAUAAAUUUUAGUGAAGUACGGAACCUUGAAAAGAGUCGGCCAAGGCCUAAAUUGGCCGAAAAGCUGUUACAAUUUGAUGCCUACUGGAUGUUGAACCCUGCACAAUUCUUUUUUCUUUUUCUUUUUUGGUUUAAUCACUGGUUUCACUAAUCCGGAUUUGUGUCGUGGCCAGUUAAAAAUCAAGAAUUACUCUAUUUUUAGGCCCAUUAAUUGUUUUUAUUCUCUGAAAUUCUGACCAUAUUUACCGGAUAAGUAAUACUCGUUUCUGUGUUGUUUUU